Molecule: ribosomal RNA, 450 nt
Filed under: uncultured bacterium
Lineage: Bacteria
Description: partial 16S ribosomal RNA
Rfam family: Bacterial small subunit ribosomal RNA
Source: RNAcentral
GUGGGGAAUAUUGGACAAUGGGCGAAAGCCUGAUCCAGCCAUGCCGCGUGUGUGAAGAAGGUCUUCGGAUUGUAAAGCACUUUAAGUUGGGAGGAAGGGCAGUAAGUUAAUACCUUGCUGUUUUGACGUUACCGACAGAAUAAGCACCGGCUAACUUCGUGCCAGCAGCCGCGGUAAUACGAAGGGUGCAAGCGUUAAUCGGAAUUACUGGGCGUAAAGCGCGCGUAGGUGGUUCAGCAAGUUGGAGGUGAAAUCCCCGGGCUCAACCUGGGAACUGCGUCCAAAACUACUGGGCUAGAGUACGGUAGAGGGUAGUGGAAUUUCCUGUGUAGCGGUGAAAUGCGUAGAUAUAGGAAGGAACACCAGUGGCGAAGGCGACUACCUGGACUGAUACUGACACUGAGGUGCGAAAGCAUGGGGAGCAAACAGGAUUAGAUACCCUGGUAGUCC